This 253-nucleotide ribosomal RNA is filed under the name uncultured bacterium. RNAcentral's name for it is "partial 16S ribosomal RNA". It matches the Rfam family "Bacterial small subunit ribosomal RNA", at positions 524 to 776 of the family's 1533-position model. The record is from RNAcentral.
UACGAAGGGGGCUAGCGUUGUCCGGAUUUAUUGGGCGUAAAGAGCUCGUAGGCGGCUUGUUGCGUCGACCGUGAAAACUUGGGGCUUAACCUUAAGCUUGCGGUUGAUACGGGCAGGCUAGAGUUCGGUAGGGGAGACUGGAAUUCCUGGUGUAGCGGUGAAAUGCGCAGAUAUCAGGAAGAACACCCGUGGCGAAGGCGGCUCUCUGGGACGGUACUGACGCUGAGACGCGAAAGCGUGGGGAGCGAACAGG